Lotus japonicus is the source of this 1022-nucleotide long non-coding RNA. RefSeq lists it as uncharacterized. The transcript has 4 exons. NCBI's taxonomy places the organism in Eukaryota, Viridiplantae, Streptophyta, Magnoliopsida, Fabales, Fabaceae. The record is from RefSeq and is a predicted model, not a curated record.
AAGAAAACCUUCUCUUCUCUUGACACAUCAUCCCUUAUAAUUGUGAAAACUGUGUCCAGCUAAGCAAUUUGUCUGACGUGUCAUGCUCUCCCCAUUUCUAAAUCCAUCGUUCGAAAGCCUGACGGUUCUCUUCUUCUCUAGGCCCAUCAAUGUCGCAAGCCUUGUGAGAGGGAGUGAACCCAAUCGAUCCUCAUCAAUCCUCCGCCUCCCUGCGUCCCUUCGCCGCAAAUCCCAACGAUGACAGCACAAACCCCGUUCUUCCUCAGCCAAUUGUCUGCCCGCUACCCAGCUUUGAAGCUUCGCCAUACUCGCUUAAUCUCAACGCCCCUCCCUUGUGAUGCAAUCGACGAGCUCAUGCACCCAGUGAUGCCUACACGGACGUUGAUCACGAUAUAUUGAUUACUUACAGAUCUUACGAGGGAGCCGAAGGUUGUCGCAAAAUCACAACAAUUCACAGCGUGCUCAAGACUUAGCUAACGUUGCUACAAUGUUUGUGGCCAUGUCAUACAAGGAUUAGUUCAAAAUUUUGCAGAUUAGUUCAAGGAAUAUUUCUGGAGGGAUUGGUGAAAGUUGUUAAGUAUAAAUGAUAAAUCAUGUAAUUCAGAACUUAAGGUUGUGAAUUCACCCUGAUCUAUGAGCUUUUGGAGAACAAACCAGGUAAUUAGGAGGAGUAGUCUAUAGCCUUUAUUUCGAGUUGGAGUCCUUGCUCUGAUACGUAGCACUCGGGGGGGAAAUGGACGCUUGUUUUCCUUCUGUUAUAAUUUGAAUUAAGUUGUUAUUUGAGAAGUUGUUUCUGUUUUAAGUUGUGGGCAAGAUACUAUGUUUUCUUUAAGUUUUAAAGACACUGGAUUCGCUGCAUAACUAUUUGUCAAAGUGAACUAGUUCAAAGACUAAUUAACUGUCACAAGAGCAUUUAAGUUUAUUUAUGAGUUCAUCUCAAAGUUUAUGUGCUAUGUAUCUGUUACAGGAGCAUUAUGAUAAUGUUUUAAGUGAUUAUGUAAUGCCCCAUGAGUGUUAGAAUU